CAGUUAUACCUGCGUGUCUUUUCUUUUUAAUGCUCCAUCUGAACAAGUGAAAUGAGGCUGAAGAUUUCACUUUUAAAGGAACCAAAACAUAAAGAAUUGGUUAGCUGUGUGGGAUGGACUACAGCUGACGAGCUAUAUUCCUGCAGCGAUGAUCACCAGAUUAUGAAAUGGAACCUUUUAACUAGUGAGACUACUCGAGUAGUGAAACUUCCAGACGAUAUUUAUCCCAUAGAUCUUCACUGGUUUCCCAGAAGUACAGGUGGAAAGAAGCAGUCCCAUGCCGAGAGCUUUGUUCUGACAAGUUCUGAUGUUGGUGAAGAUGGCCAAGUGAAGAUCUGGUCUAAAAGUGGAAUGCUGAGAUCCACUUUAGCUCAGCAAG
Long non-coding RNA from Apaloderma vittatum (bar-tailed trogon), 379 nucleotides. RefSeq lists it as uncharacterized. The record is from RefSeq and is a predicted model, not a curated record. NCBI's taxonomy places the organism in Eukaryota, Metazoa, Chordata, Aves, Trogoniformes, Trogonidae. The transcript has 3 exons.